RNAcentral lists this ribosomal RNA (293 nucleotides) under uncultured bacterium. RNAcentral describes it as "partial 16S ribosomal RNA". It matches the Rfam family "Bacterial small subunit ribosomal RNA", at positions 505 to 796 of the family's 1533-position model. The record is from RNAcentral.
GUGUCAGCCGCCGCGGUAAUACGUAGGGGGCGAGCGUUGUCCGGAAUUAUUGGGCGUAAAGAGCUCGUAGGCGGUUCGGCAAGUCACGUGUGAAAUCUCCACGCUCAACGUGGAGGCGCCACGUGAGACUGCCGUGACUCGAGUCCGGUAGGGGAGCGUGGAAUUCCCGGUGUAGCGGUGAAAUGCGCAGAGAUCGGGAGGAACACCCGUAGCGAAGGCGGCGCUCUGGGCCGGUACUGACGCUGAGGAGCGAAAGCGUGGGGAGCAAACAGGAUUAGAAACCCCCGUAGUCC